CGAAUUCAAGUGGAUUGUUGGCCACGAACAGAUUGCAGAGUCUACGAUUGGAAGUAAAACAGAGAGUGAAGAUGAUGAUGAUGAAGUAAUGGACAAGGGCAUGGAGAUUGCAUUGCUGAAAGAGAAGGUCAACAACCUCACAAAAGCAAAUGCUAAACUUUUGGCAAGAAAUAAGC
Thalassophryne amazonica is the source of this 176-nucleotide long non-coding RNA. RefSeq lists it as uncharacterized. The transcript has 3 exons. The record is from RefSeq and is a predicted model, not a curated record. Lineage: Eukaryota; Metazoa; Chordata; Actinopteri; Batrachoidiformes; Batrachoididae.